GGCGCACUGUGUCGGCGACGCCGAGGCGCUUCUGCAUCUGUGGGCUGAGCAUUCUUGAGGUCAUCUGAACCUUCUGACUAAGAAAACAUGGUCAACGUCUUGAAAGGAGUGCUUAUAGAAUGUGAUCCUGCCAUGAAGCAGUUUCUGCUGUACUUGGAUGAGUCCAAUGCCCUGGGGAAGAAGUUCAUCAUUCAAGACAUUGAUGACACUCACGUCUUUGUAAUAGCAGAAUUGGUUAAUGUCCUCCAGGAGCGAGUGGGUGAAUUAAUGGACCAAAAUGCUUUUUCCCUUACCCAGAAAUGAAAAUACUCAAUAUGGACCAUUUAGGAAUUAUAAGCAGCAAAUGUGAAAGACUUGCCACUUGAUAGGUGACUGAUUAGACAUAGAGGGUUGUUGUAGGAGCAUGCCACAGGAAAGACCAAGGGAUCAUGAUCAUUUGUUCAGAAAAAAAAGCCCCUGAACUGAUUUUGUUAUACCAUAGAAUUAAAAAAAAAAAAGGCUUUAACAGUUGGCUGUAAUUUGUCUUUUAUUGUCCUUUAUUAAAAUACGAAUCUCAAUGCU
This is a long non-coding RNA of Cercocebus atys (sooty mangabey), 561 nucleotides long. RefSeq lists it as uncharacterized. NCBI's taxonomy places the organism in Eukaryota, Metazoa, Chordata, Mammalia, Primates, Cercopithecidae. The transcript is spliced from 3 exons. The record is from RefSeq and is a predicted model, not a curated record.